UUCAUUGACACUUAAACAUUACCUAAGCCAAACAAAAUACUAAACCCUAUUCAACAAAACAAGCAAUGAGCAAAACAAUCAUUAAACCUACACAGAAAAGAAAAAGAUCAUCGGGAUAACAUUAAGAGUAACGGAACAAAGUAAGACACGAAUAAUCAUUCUCUUACUAUGUUUUUUUUCUUGGUGUUAGACGAAAAAUCCCACCCCCGAAUUUUAAAAAUUGUUUUGGGUCUUAAUGUGUGUGCCCGUGGGGCCCACGUGUUUUAGUCUUGUUCCUCCGGGGCCCAAGUAUAUCUCCCUCUCUUUCUUCCCUUUUCCCGUGCACCCUACACCUCUCUCAAAGCUCUGUCUUUGUCUCACGGUUCCCUCCCUCUCCCUCGCUGCACCCUCCCCUUCCUCGAGCUUCACACGACACACAUACGUACACACGGACAACAACCACUCACCACCGGUCCACCACCUGGACCUUGUUACCACGAAGCUCGGACCGAUGACCCUGAAGCUCAACAGUGGCGGAUGCCACUGUUCAUUGUCUCCCCGACUUGCAUCGUUGUAGGGGAGCUUCGAAGACACUUUUAACUUUCCCCUUUGGUUCCCAUAUUUCAAUUCUGAUCGUGUGGGUGUGGAUUGGACGACAAAACCACGAGGAAACAACUCGGAGGAGAAAAACCCAGAUUCCGGCGAAUACCCGUGGCUUUCAGGCCACUUUCCAGCCAACUCUGGCCACCACUCGCCUCGAAAUUGGACUUAUAAUCGAGGCAUACAAUCCUGGCAUCAAGGUACUCCUGCAUCGGCAUCUUCGAUUUUUCUUGGUGUAGGACCCAUCUUUUUAUUCAUUCAAUUUUAUAUUAUUUCUUUUUAAUAUUCUAGUUAGUCGUAUGUUCUGAACAUGUUCCUCAUUUGCGUAACAAUUAUAUUUAAACUUCUAUUAUUCUUAUUCAUAUUUUUAGUUCUUACCACUGCAUUCAAUAAAUGGCUUUCGUCACCUUCGGAUGUCUGCUAGCACAUGACCAUUCCGAUGUUCUACGAACAUCGGGAUCGGGGUGUGUCAUUAGAAAUGUUGAGAAUGAAUCUCACAUUGAUAAGAGUAAAGACCUUAUAUAUGCUUAUAUAGUUAUAUGUAGUUAGGUCAUACUCUAAAUUGCCAAUUAGUUUUACGGUGGAAUCUUAAUUUUCUUCAAAAAGCUACAGCUCUGAUGUAUAAAGUUCUUCCAUCGCCGGCAAUGGCAUUUAUUUAAGCAGGCUGAUCCACAACUUUCAAUACUAAGAGCAUGUUCAUAUUUGUUUAUUUUUAGGCAAUGAAUCGCUAUGUUUUUCUAGAAACUCGUCUCCCGUCCUAUUUAUAGUAGCAGCAUUCUGACACUGCGUACUAGUCCUUCUUGAACAGAACACACACCAGAAUAAAUCUGCAAGUCCCAAUCUCUCUGCCGGUUUGGCUCAAAGCCCUUCAAACAUUUGCAGCUGUUCAAGGAUGUGACAUUGCAACUGGAGAAAGCCCCACAAAAAGCAUGUACAAUUGUAUUGGCUGAGACCAAAACAUAGUACAUUGCUUGGGAGCCUCAAACCAUGUUAGUUGCUGAAUCUGCCCUGAGACAGACAUCAAACAUCGAGAUGCAAUUUUAUGAUUAUAACGUGAAUAGGUGAAAUAACUUUGAUUCUCAUUCGUAACAUAUCCAUAAUUGAACAUGUAAUUAAGCCUCAAUUCAGGAACCAAGUUGAAGAUUUCCGAACUUUCAUUCCAUGACCCGCUGGUCCAAUAUUGUUUACACCUAUUCCACAAUAAGAUAUCUCAAUUGCCUUCAUCUGGGGCUAGGGGCCAGCUCAAGAGAGUAGAGACCUGGUGCAGGAUUCGAAUCCAAUUAUUCUUGCAGGCCCAGCAGCCUUUCUGCUUGCCGAGAGCCCAUCAUCACCAACCCAUACUCUCGUCAAUAAAAGUUGAGUUUAACAUGAUCAGUG
Molecule: long non-coding RNA, 1956 nt
Organism: Pyrus x bretschneideri (Chinese white pear)
Lineage: Eukaryota; Viridiplantae; Streptophyta; Magnoliopsida; Rosales; Rosaceae
Exons: 2
Source: RefSeq, a predicted model, not a curated record